AGCAGCCGCGGUAAUUCCAGCUCCAAUAGCGUAUAUUAAAGUUGUUGCAGUUAAAAAGCUCGUAGUUGAAUUUCGGGAUCAAUUUAUUGGUCGUGCUAUUGUACGUACUGGUAUUAUUGAUUCCUACCUUCUGACGAACCAUGAUGUCAUUAAUUUGGUGUCAUGGGGAAUCAGGACUGUUACUUUGAAAAAAUUAGAGUGUUUAAAGCAGGCUCACGCUUGAAUACAUUAGCAUGGAAUAACGAAAUAGGACGUUUGAUUCUAUUUUGUUGGUUUCUAGGAUCGACGUAAUGAUUAAUAGGGAUAGUUGGGGGCAUUAGUAUUCAAUUGUCAGAGGUGAAAUUCUUGGAUUUAUUGAAGACUAACUACUGCGAAAGCGUUUGCCAAGGAUGUUUUCAUUAAUCAAGAACGAAAGUUAGGGGAUCGAAGACGAUCAGAUACCGUCGUAGUCUUAACCAUAAACUAUGCCGACUAGGGAUCGGAUGAUGUUAAUUUUUAAUGACUCAUUCGGCGCCUUAAC
RNAcentral lists this ribosomal RNA (520 nucleotides) under uncultured Glomus. Its description in RNAcentral is "SSU rRNA". It matches the Rfam family "Eukaryotic small subunit ribosomal RNA", at positions 569 to 1092 of the family's 1831-position model. Lineage: Eukaryota; Fungi; Glomeromycota; Glomeromycetes; Glomerales; Glomeraceae. The record is from RNAcentral.